Molecule: ribosomal RNA, 376 nt
Filed under: uncultured bacterium
Lineage: Bacteria
Description: bacterial SSU rRNA
Rfam family: Bacterial small subunit ribosomal RNA
Source: RNAcentral
UACGUAGGGGGCGAGCGUUGUCCGGAGUUACUGGGCGUAAAGAGCGUGUAGGCGGUUGGAAAAGUCAGAUGUGAAAUUCUCCGGCUCAACCGGGGAACUGCGUCUGAAACUUUCCGACUGGAGUUUGGGAGGGGCAACUGGAAUUCCUGGUGUAACGGUGAAAUGUGUAGAUAUCAGGAGGAACACCCGUGGCGAAGGCGGGUUGCUGGACCAAAACUGACGCUGAGACGCGAAAGCGUGGGUAGCAAACAGGAUUAGAUACCCUGGUAGUCCACGCUGUAAACGAUGAGUGCUAGGUGUAGGGGGUAUCGACUCCUUCUGUGCCGCAGUUAACGCAUUAAGCACUCCGCCUGGGGAGUACGGCCGCAAGGUUAAA